Molecule: long non-coding RNA, 500 nt
Organism: Xiphias gladius (swordfish)
Lineage: Eukaryota; Metazoa; Chordata; Actinopteri; Istiophoriformes; Xiphiidae
Exons: 3
Source: RefSeq, a predicted model, not a curated record
CACCCCGGAUGACGUUCAGUGACGAAGACGUGGGACAGGCAAUGGCGGCGUUUUUCAAAGCGUGUUGCAAUUAAAAUAUGGUUAGGGGAUUUGAAAACAUUCGUGGUCAGGGAGAGACCAGCACUUGAGACCUGCAGCCCCGCUAAAUCAGACGGUGGGUUAGCCGCCACCCAGACCUGUGGCCUCCACUGACGCACCCAUCACUAAGGCGGCAGACAACAGCACUGACACUGAACAUACAGCUCUGUGCAAACGUUUUAGACGCGUAAUCCUAUUGAUGACGGAGGACACGCUUUCUACAGACAAAUAUGCCAAGACAUGGUGCUCUACAUUGACAGUACAAUGCUCAGGAGAGUCCGCGUACUCGAGAUGCAACCUUUCCAGAGUUCACUCUCAGCGGCUCCAGGUCUUCCUCAGAGCUGCAGGCGCUGUGCUGCAUCCUCCGGGAGAAAAUCCUGCGACGCGACUGGGCGCUGAGGUCCAGCAGGUCGAAGGAAUCG